AAAACCUCGUGGAGGACCGAACCACGUUGCUGUUGAAAAAGCAUGGGAUGAGCUGUGGAUAGCGGAGAAAUUCCAAUCGAACUCGGAUAUAGCUGGUUCUCCUCGAAAUAGCUUUAGGGCUAGCGUCGUGAAAUGUGAGUACUGGAGGUAGAGCACUGAAUAGGCUAGGGGGCAUAGCGCUUACCGAACCUUAUCAAACUCCGAAUGCCAGAUACUAUCAGCACGGCAGUCAGACUAUGAAAGAUAAGUUCCAUGGUCAAAAGGGAAACAGCCCAGAUCGUCAGCUAAGGUCCCAAAGUGUAAGUUAAGUGGAAAAGGAUGUGGGAUUUCUAAGACAACUAGGAUGUUGGCUUAGAAGCAGCCACUCAUUAAAAGAGUGCGUAAUAGCUCACUAGUCAAGAGAUCCUGCGCCGAAAAUGUCCGGGGCUCAAACUUACCACCGAAGCUACGGGUUCAUACUUUGUAUGAGCGGUAGAGGAGCGUCGUAAUCGGGCUGAAGUCGUACCGUAAGGAGCGGUGGACUGAUUACGAGUGAGAAUGUUGGCAUUAGUAGCGAGAUGUAGGUGAGAAUCCUACAGGCCGAAUAUCUAAGGUUUCCUGAGUAAAGUUUGUCUUCUCAGGGUUAGUCGGGACCUAAGGCGAGGCCGAGAGGCGUAGUCGAUGGACAAUUGGUUGAUAUUCCAAUACCACUAUAAUCGUUAUUAUCGAUGGUGUGACGGAGAAGGAUAGGAUGUGCCAGCUAUUGGAUGCUGGUCUAAGCGUUGAGGGAGUUAGAACAGGCAAAUCCGUUCUAACAAUCCUAGGGCGUGAUGGGGAAGGUUCCACGGAACCGAAGUAUCUGAUUUCAUGCUUCCAAGAAAAGCAUCUAGAAAGAGAAGUAGUGCCCGUACCGCAAACCGACACAGGUAGAUGAGGAGAGAAUCCUAAGGCCGACGGAAGAAUCACAGUUAAGGAACUAGGCAAAUUGACCCCGUAACUUCGGGAGAAGGGGUGCCUACCAUUUGGUAGGCCGCAGAGAAUAGGCACAAGCAACUGUUUAACAAAAACACAGGUCUCUGCUAAAGCGUAAGCUGAUGUAUAGGGGCUGACGCCUGCCCGGUGCUGGAAGGUUAAGGGGAACACUUAGCGCAAGCGAAGGUGUGAACUUAAGCCCCAGUAAACGGCGGCCGUAACUAUAACGGUCCUAAGGUAGCGAAAUUCCUUGUCAGGUAAGUUCUGACCCGCACGAAUGGCGUAAUGACUUGUGCACUGUCUCAACUGUGAAUCCGGCGAAGUUGUAGUGCGAGUGAAGAUGCUCGCUACCCGCGAUUGGACGGAAAGACCCCGUAGAGCUUUACUGUAGCUUAGCAUUGAAUUUCGGUAUUGUCUGUACAGGAUAGGUGGGAGACUGGGAAAUUAGGGCGUCAGCCUUAAUGGAGUCGUUGUUGGGAUACCACCCUGAUAGUAUUGAAGUUCUAACUGGAUGCCAUGAAACUGGUGACAGGACAUUGUUAGGUGGGCAGUUUGACUGGGGCGGUCGCCUCCUAAAAUGUAACGGAGGCGCCCAAAGG
This 1550-nucleotide ribosomal RNA is filed under the name Clostridium sp. HMSC19A10. Its description in RNAcentral is "bacterial LSU rRNA". It matches the Rfam family "Bacterial large subunit ribosomal RNA", at positions 758 to 2316 of the family's 2925-position model. Lineage: Bacteria; Bacillati; Bacillota; Clostridia; Eubacteriales; Clostridiaceae. The record is from RNAcentral.